RNAcentral lists this ribosomal RNA (926 nucleotides) under uncultured bacterium. Its description in RNAcentral is "bacterial SSU rRNA". It matches the Rfam family "Bacterial small subunit ribosomal RNA", at positions 604 to 1528 of the family's 1533-position model. The record is from RNAcentral.
ACGGCUCAACCGUAGUAGCCUUUUGGAACUGUUUAGCUUGAGUGCAGGAGAGGAGAGUGGAAUUCCUAGUGUAGCGGUGAAAUGCGUAGAUAUUAGGAGGAACACCAGUGGCGAAGGCGACUCUCUGGACUGCAACUGACGCUGAGGCACGAAAGCGUGGGGAGCGAACAGGAUUAGAUACCCUGGUAGUCCACGCCGUAAACGAUGAGUGCUAGGUGUCGGGGGUUCACACCCUCGGUGCCGGAGUUAACGCAUUAAGCACUCCGCCUGGGGAGUACGGUCGCAAGACUGAAACUCAAAGGAAUUGACGGGGACCCGCACAAGCAGCGGAGCAUGUGGUUUAAUUCGAAGCAACGCGAAGAACCUUACCAGGACUUGACAUCCCUAUGACCGGUCCUUAAUCGGACUUUUCCCUUCGGGGACGUAGGAGACAGGUGGUGCAUGGUUGUCGUCAGCUCGUGUCGUGAGAUGUUGGGUUAAGUCCCGCAACGAGCGCAACCCUUGUCUUUAGUUGCCAGCAGGUAAAGCUGGGCACUCUAGAGAGACUGCCGGUGACAAACCGGAGGAAGGUGGGGAUGACGUCAAAUCAUCAUGCCCCUUAUGUUCUGGGCUACACACGUGCUACAAUGGCUGGUACAACGGGAAGCCAAGGAGUAAUCUGGAGCGAAUCCCAAAAAGCCAGUCCCAGUUCGGAUUGUGGGCUGCAACUCGCCCACAUGAAGUCGGAGUUGCUAGUAAUCGUGAAUCAGAAUGUCGCGGUGAAUGCGUUCCCGGGUCUUGUACACACCGCCCGUCACACCAUGGAAGUCCAUGGCACCCGAAGUCAGUGAGUUAACCCUAGUGGAGACAGCUGCCGAAGGUGAAAUGGAUGACUAGGGUGAAGUCGUAACAAGGUAGCCGUAUCGGAAGGUGCGGCUGGAUCACCU